RNAcentral lists this long non-coding RNA (1009 nucleotides) under Felis catus (domestic cat). RNAcentral's name for it is "lncRNA (ENSFCAG00000050615.1)". Lineage: Eukaryota; Metazoa; Chordata; Mammalia; Carnivora; Felidae. The record is from RNAcentral.
UUGUGUGUGUGCGCAAAAGCUAAUUGAUUUAUAGCUUAUAAAACUUUUUUUGUUUUGUUUUGUUGUUGCUUUAGGACCCACACUGGCAAUAUUCUACCAAGGGGAUGUUAAGUCGUGUACAGAAGAAUAAUUCAACUAUUCAUGGGAUCCAGAAAGCUCUUCACUGUUUCUUCAAGAGUACAGAAGAUGAGAGUAUAAAGGCGCUUUAUCCUGCCAGAAGUGGAAAAUCGCCCUGUCACCAUACUGUGCAGGGGACUGCAUCAUGCACUGUGCACCACCACCACCCACUGCCGCCCAAGGCAGCACAUGGCAGGAAUGGUUUGGAAAAGACUUGGGUUCCGAGGUCAUCAGGUCGGGAUUCAAACUCUAGAUCUUACUAACAGUGUAUUCUUGAGCACGUAUUCAGCCUCUCUGACUUGACUUCUCUAUAAAAAUGGGAGUAUAAAAAGUCUACAUCACAAAAUUGUCGAAAGGAUUUCAAUUGCAUGGAUGUAUAAAUGUCUCUGCCAUAAUAUUUAACACCUCUAGGUGUUCAAAAGAUGAAUUACUUUCUCUUUUAUAUCCUUUUCCUUUCUUAUGCAAAAAUAUAUUGUUGGAAUAGUUUGCGAUUGUUGCAAUUGCUGUUGUUUAUUAAGUUUUUAAGUUUUAAUUCCAGUAUAGUUACAUACAGUGUUAUAUUAGUUUCAGGUGUGCAAUAUAGUGACUCAGCAAUUCUAUACAUUACUCAGUCCUCAUCAUGAUAAGUAAGUGUGGUCUUUAAUCCUUAUCACCUAUCUCACUCACUCCUCCCCCACCUCUCCUUGGGGAUCUGUUCUCUAUAGUUAAGAGUCUGCUUCUUUAUUUGUCUUUCUCUCUUUUUUCUUUUGUUCAUUUUUGCUUAAAUUCCACAUGAGUGAAAUCAUAUGGUAUUUGUCUUUUUCUGAUUUACUUCUCUUAGCAUAAUACUCUCUAGCUCCAUGUUGUUGCAAAUGGCAAGAUUUCAUUGUUUUUUAUGGCUGACUAAUAUUCC